AUUGAACGCUGGCGGCAGGCUUAACACAUGCAAGUCGAGCGGGGUGAUGGUGCUUGCACUAUCACUUAGCGGCGGACGGGUGAGUAAUGCUUAGGAAUCUGCCUAUUAGUGGGGGACAACAUCUCGAAAGGGAUGCUAAUACCGCAUACGUCCUACGGGAGAAAGCAGGGGAUCACUUGUGACCUUGCGCUAAUAGAUGAGCCUAAGUCGGAUUAGCUAGUUGGUGGGGUAAAGGCCUACCAAGGCGACGAUCUGUAGCGGGUCUGAGAGGAUGAUCCUCCACACUGGGACUGAGAAACGGCCCAGACUCCUACGGGAGGCAGCAGUGGGGAAUAUUGGACAAUGGGGGGAACCCUGAUCCAGCCAUGCCGCGUGUGUGAAGAAGGCCUUAUGGUUGUAAAGCACUUUAAGCGAGGAGGAGGCUCUUUUGGUUAAUACCCAAGAUGAGUGGACGUUACUCGCAGAAUAAGCACCGGCUAACUCUGUGCCAGCCGCCGCGGUAA
Molecule: ribosomal RNA, 503 nt
Filed under: uncultured bacterium
Lineage: Bacteria
Description: partial 16S ribosomal RNA
Rfam family: Bacterial small subunit ribosomal RNA
Source: RNAcentral